CCUACGGGAGGCAGCAGUGAGGAAUAUUGGUCAAUGGGCGCUAGCCUGAACCAGCCAAGUAGCGUGAAGGAUGACUGCCCUAUGGGUUGUAAACUUCUUUUGGAUGGGAAUAAAGUGGAGUAUGUAUACUGCUUUGCAGGUACCUUAUGAAUAAGGAUCGGCUAACUCCGUGCCAGCAGCCGCGGUAAUACGGAGGAUCCGAGCGUUAUCCGGAUUUAUUGGGUUUAAAGGGAGCGUAGGCGGGUGGUUAAGUCAGUUGUGAAAGUUCGCGGCUCAACCGUAAAAUUGCAGUUGAUACUGGCAUCCUUGAGUACAGUAGAGGUAGGCGGAAUUCGUGGUGUAGCGGUGAAAUGCUUAGAUAUCACGAAGAACACCGAUUGCGAAGGCAGCCUGCUGGACUGCAACUGACGCUGAUGCUCGAAAGUGUGGGUAGCAAACAGGAUUAGAUACCCCAGUAGUC
This 460-nucleotide ribosomal RNA is filed under the name uncultured bacterium. RNAcentral's name for it is "partial 16S ribosomal RNA". It matches the Rfam family "Bacterial small subunit ribosomal RNA", at positions 338 to 795 of the family's 1533-position model. The record is from RNAcentral.